This 771-nucleotide long non-coding RNA is filed under the name Homo sapiens (human). RNAcentral describes it as "non-protein coding lnc-STRBP-12:1". The record is from RNAcentral. Lineage: Eukaryota; Metazoa; Chordata; Mammalia; Primates; Hominidae.
CGUGGAAGUUUGGAUGUUUUUCUGAAGGUGAUGAUGGUGAAGGGCGGGGGCACCGAAGGGUUUUGAUGGAGGAUCAAAGUGAUUGGAUUUGGAUUUUUCCAAGAUUACUAGGACAGAUAUGGGUGAAUGGCAUUGAGGAGAAACUGAAGGCAGAAGAAGGCCCACUGAGGAAACCGCUCCACUAGUCUGGGCCAGAGAGGGUGAUGGAGCUGAAUUUGCAGGGCCAAUGUCAUGGGCACUGAGAGGAGAGGAUGGAUUCAGGGCAUAUCUGGGUUGGUGUUGAGGAGAUGUGGAGAAUGUUUGUGGGAAGGAGGGAGAAGUAGGGAAUCUGACAUCUGACGCCUGGCCCAGGAGACUGGCCGGAUGAUGCUGCGGUAACCAAGAUGGCACACAGAGGGGAAAGGGCGUCUUAGACAGAAGCUGGCAAGUUCAGUUUUGCCCCCUCUUUCCUUUGCCUUGUCUUCCUCCUAUAACACCCGAUUAAAGGAGGAAGCCAUCCUCACCAGCACUUACAACACACCCAAAUUACCCCUGAUGAAUCCCGAUGUUAAUGAUUUGACCAGCACCCCUCGGGGUACUGAGGGCAAGUUCAGCUUUAGAUAUAUGACUCUGUGUUGUUUAAACCUGAAAUUGUCUUCCCUUACUUUUAUUUAAAGGACAAAUGCUACUCCCCAGCGAUCAGAUGCACAGAUACUUGCAGUUUCAAAGUUUGAGGUGCUGGCAGGUCAAGACAAAAGCUUCUCCAUGUUUCAGGGUGACAAGAGGUCUUCA